UGCCAAGAUAGUUUAAUAAAACACUAGGUCGUGACCCUAACAAUAGAUAUUUUUUCUUCUUGGCC
This 65-nucleotide transfer RNA is filed under the name Phrynocephalus vlangalii (Pylzow's toadhead agama). Its description in RNAcentral is "tRNA-His". The record is from RNAcentral. Lineage: Eukaryota; Metazoa; Chordata; Lepidosauria; Squamata; Agamidae.